GAGAUUCAGAAGAGAAAAGAGAAAGAGAGAAGAGAGCUAGAGCAAGAGAAACAGAGGAGGAUGGUAACUUAACUUGUCUGAGCAAGAGCACUUGUUGUUUAAUGGAGGAAUCUUUUUGUUUGACAUGUGUUUAUCUCUUUAUGUCAUUCAGCUAGCUUCUCCAAUUAUUUGGGUUCAUAUCCUUCUUUACCUCAAACUACUGUAGGAUGGGGUAGCUGAAAAGUCAAGGUCUGCUAAUGCUGAUUCUGCUUCAGUUUCAAAGCAAUCACCACCAAGGGCUUCUAGUGUUUAUCCUGAGAAAGAUACAGAAGCGGAGAUGGGGCAUCAUUCAAAAUCAAAAAGCUGGUAAGUAACCACAUGCCUUCCUGUCUUCUCCCCACUUACUUUUUAUAUGACUUAGCAGUGUUGUUGUGUUCAGUGAACAAUCUGAUCCCAUUUGUAGUUAUUCAGGCUAAAAUUCUUCUCAAACUUGCAUGCAUCAGAUGAUCCUUCAUAUAAGCAUAUGAAGUUUUUUCCUCAUAAAGUAGAAAAAUUGAUCAUUGAUGUUACAAUAGCAAGUGGCCAACAUUAAAUCUCUAUGUUUUUAGAUAUACCAGACAUCAUGCCCAAGCAUUGGGUAAUCUAUCCAACACCCCCUUUCCUCCUUCCAACAUACAGGCACAUGAAAAAGGUAAAAAGAAACUUUUCUUUCCCUUCUAGUGACAGUCCUCGCUAUUAUUACUUGGACCAGGAGCAAGGGUUUCAUCUUGGCAUAGAGCUUCACCAAGAUCUCGGUUUGUAUUAGCAUCAGCCAGUGGCUGAUUCGAUAAGUUUCAAAUAUAGGCCUAAAAUAUCCCUGGUGAUAUAAACAGAUAACUCCUGGAAAAUUUGGUAAAAAAAUAUGGGUAUAUCCACCAAGAUGUUUUAACUACAUUUAUUAAUGUAAUGUUGGUCAAUGCUAAAAAUCAAAAUCAAAGUCAGCUCCAGAUUUAUCACUUCAUGUGUCAAUCUAGUUAGACUGUGAGGAGGACAGAUGGUUGGGACCAUCUGGGAUGGGCUGUUGGUCGAAAUUGGAGGCUGUUAAAGUUCGAUCUGGUUCAUGGCAUGGCAAUGACGAUGAAAAUUGGCUUGACCUUAUUCUUCUUCUAUUUUUUCAUUGGGAGGAGAAAGAUGGAUAACGGGAGGAGAAGAUGAUGGGGAGGUGAGAAGAAAUAACAGGGAGGAGAAGAUGAUGGAGAGGUGAGAAGAAAACAAGUGGAUUCAACGCAUUGAUGGCAUUGGAGAAGGAGAAGGGAUCAAUAGAGAAGAGUUAGAAAGGAGGAAUGGAGGGAAGAGGAAGUUCUUUGAGGUAAGUGAGGUGAAUUUGGAUGGCUUUGUGAGAAGGGAAGAUAAGCUAGUCAUGGAUGGUGGUGGAGGCUGGCUAGGAGGGAGGGGGCCGGAGUAGAAGUGGAGUUGAAUCUUCUUAGAAAGGACUCUAAUUCCUUUCUCUUGGCUGACAAUUUGCCGAUAUCCUGAUCUGUCCAUAGAUAUUUUUCUUGAUAAUGAAUUAUUGGACUUCUCUAAAUCAGUUCCACCUUCCAUCUUGGUUGGGACAAUCCAAAAUCUCAGUUAUCUUGGUAAUCAGAACCUGUUUUCUAGGUAUUGGGAACCCACCAAGAUAACCGACACAUCUGGAUUGAAAAACCCUGAUUAGAGGGUGGAGAAUGGAGGAGGGCAGGUAGAUAUUAACAGAGAAACAUUGCUAAAGAGGACUAAUGGAAUGAUCGAGAAUUUUGGUUAGUGAGGUUUCUGUACUAAAAAAGACUUUGGUUUAGUACUUAGCACAUGAUCGUGGACAGUUGGGGAUUGAUUGAGAAAUAGAGAAUAGAAAAAGAAAAAAAUGGAAGACGAGCAGAAAAAAAUUAAACAGGGACAUGGAACAAACAGUUCUAGCAUCAUGAUUAGUCGCUAGACUAUCUGAAGUAUAGCAGAAGAUAUGUAGAAUGACAUCUUCUGAUUGCGGUAGAAAGUAGAAACAUAUAGAUUUAUUUGUUAAUUUAUUUUGGUUCUCCUGUCAUUCAUUAAUUUCCUGAAAAUUGCCAUCUAUUAAAGAAUUAGACUCCUGCUUGUUAUGGGAUUUGAUGUUUGCUGCUUGACAUAGUUGCCUUUAAACCUUUCUAUUUAUUUGUUGAUAUAUUUGGUUUAUUUUUGAAAUGACUAGAUUGAUUGUAUGAUCUAUGGUUAAUCUUGUUAACUAAAUGGCUUCUUUGUCCCAACUAAUCUGUUCCUAAGUGUCAAGGUGAUGAUGUUGAACUAAGAAUCACUUCUAAAAAAGACAAAAAAAUUUGGACCGUAUUUUAUCUUUAUGCUUCAUUAGUAGAUUGGUUUGUGAUCCCUUCCAUCCAUCUUACUUUGUUUGCACUUCAUGCGGUAUAAUGAAAGUGUUUACAAAAGAAGGUUGUACUCUGUAUGGAUGAUAACUAGUGCUUAGAAACUCGUGACAAGUUUUUUCAUGGAGGAGUUUGACUUACCUCCAAUAUAAAAGAUAAUUCAAAUGCUAGCUUUAAAGGUUUAGGCCAGCAUCUAAGUUCUAAACAACUUGCUCCCUAUACACAUUGUCUUGAUGUGCUUUUAGAAUUUUGUUCACUGAUUCAUUUUUGUGUUCUUAUAUUUUUCUAAUUCCACUUGCAACAGAGUCCUGCUGAUUGUGUCUGCAAUAUUUGCUUUGUGUUGUAAUUACUGUGGUUGUGCACUAUGUGCAGGCAUGUAUAACAGUUAUUUGCUGAUACAUUGUGCAUAGAGCAAAUGUUGCCUUCUGAUCUUCUAUAUGAUCUUUGUUCCACUUUUGUUUUGAGAAUUGGUACUAUCUUGUGCAUGUGUAGUGCUUAAUCAUUUUGGCAUAUAGUAUCACUGAUGUGGGCAGAACUGUUUGGCAUAUUUUAAUUGAUAUCUUAAGUGUGGUGGAAUCAUUUUAUUUUUGUAUUUGCUAAUCUGUUUAAAUUUAGCAGCUCUAAUAAUUUUUUUUCAGCAUGUAGGCAUUUUCCACCAUUGAGUGUAGCUUAUGCUUUUUACCACUGGUCCUGUGAGGUAAAGUUGGUUUAGUAUUGUUGGUUCUGACUUGGGAUAAAUUAGGUAGAUUUCUGAUUGCAUGGGUCUCUCAUAAAUGAAUAAUUUGAAGGCAAAUGAAAUGCAAGUUUUGCGUUUAUCUGUUGCAUGAACCAGUUUUUGCCCAUAAACUAAAUUAUUCCUUUUCUUUAGGCCCUCUUUGUCUCCAUGUUCGCAUGAUCAUUCGCCAUCUCGUCGGUAAUACCCUUUCUUUGAUUUGAUUUUCAAUAUGUUCUUAUCAUAUUAUGGUUCCUAUUACGGGUAACCAAUGUGGGUAUUGACAUGUUACUUUUAUUUUCCUCCAGGCAGACACCUUCCCCAAGUAGGUCAUGCAGCAAAUCGUUUUCAAAAUCUGGGAGCUACUCAAAGUACCUUUCUUUCUUCCUUUCUUUUUUUGGUAUCAGUUCUAGAAUUUUGUUUAUAUAUGUUUGUGAUUUUAGCAGCCUAUCCUGGACUAAGAUGUCUUCUAGAUUUAUUAGAACAUUGUUACAGUAGAUAUUGGAGUAAUUUUAUUGUCUAUUUCAUGUCAUGGCUUUGCAAUAUGGGCCACAAUGUGAAGCUUGCCUAAUCAAUUUCUUGAUGGCUUCUAAUGUAAAUGAACUGAAUUUCCCAAGAAAAGAUCUUUCUAGAGUAUGGUCCAUACUUCCAUGAAAUUUGAUAAUUCAUGUUCUGGGAAGUGUUUCUCAUAAAUAUGAUUAUUGGUAAUAUUUGGCGAAAGAAUGAAGUGUUUUGAAAAGAUGAUUAUUUUAUGAUAUCAUUUUCUGAUGAUUGAAUAUCAGUUUAAUAAGUUUCUUGCUCAUGCAAGUUGUGAUUUGCUAUUGCUUUGGUUACUUGUUUAAGCAUGAUUGACAAAUGUCUCCUCCUAUCAGGGAAGGUUGCAAAUCAAGAAGUAUGUCUGUUUCAUCUCAGUCACAAAGGUCAAAUUCUCCUAAGAGGCAGUAUCGCUCACCACCCAGAUGGUCUAUAUCUUCUGAGAGGCGAUACAGAUCUCCACCUCGACGUUCCGUUUCUCCAAGCCGUGAGCAUUCACCACGAUACAAUCGAUCACCUUUAAGACGAAGAUUGCCUCAUACUAGGCAAAGAUCGGUUUCCUUAUCCAGGAAUCGAUCUUCCUCUCCUGUCCGGCAGAGAUCUCCUUAUGCACAAAAAAGAUCUCCAUCAUAUGUGCGGCGUGGGUCUCCUUCCUCUCGUCACAGGUCUCCAGUUCAAGUCCGCAGGAGAUCACCUUCUCCCUUACAUCACAGGUCUUCUAUCCGACGCAGCUCUUUGUCACCAGUCCGGUGCAGGUCCCCAUCUCCUUUAAGGAGGAGAUCACCUCCACCUAGGUCUCCAAAGCACCGAAGGAGGUCACCUAUGCGUUUGCCUAGAAGUCAUGUUGUGGGUUAUCAAGCAUCUCGUUGGCAAAGAAAGAGGUCCUGAUGCAGAGCCUAAUUGUAUACUGCUCUUUCUGGAUUAGCUGUGGUAAUGUUCUUCCAUCACAUUGCAUGUCUGAUGUUGUAGUACUUUGCAGGAGCCGCAGUCCAUGUAGGAGCCCGAGUCCAUCAUAUCCAACUCAUAGGAGUUCGAGUAGGGGGAUUAAUAACCAUAUUAAUGGAAUCAACUCCAAACAUUAUCAUGGUGGAUACACAUCUCAAAGGUGGUUCUAAUUUUCUGUUCUUUGUCAUUCCAGUCAUCUUCCUUCUGACAUAAAAUGGAGAUAUGUAAAUCUUUGCAAUACGCUUGUUCUUAUGAUACAUCUUCCAAUAUCUUAUAGGUCUUAUGAAAAGAGGUCACCUCUUCAUCCCGCCUUGAAGAGGAUGGUGGCGGAACACCCUGACUCAGUACAUAAGGUUUCAGAAUCACUGCGAUUUCCAAUUUCUUCAAAGUCUGCCCAGCAUGAUUCAGGGAAUCAAAACAACAUUCAUGAUAGGAAGUGUGGUGCAGCGUCAGACGAUUCUCCAAGCCAAUCAGAGUCACCAUCCCAUUUGCGAAGGAUGGAUCCAAGAGGAAAUAGGUCUGCAUCUCUGAUAAUUCAUGUGGUGUGAAUAACUAGUGCUUAUUCUCUUUCCUUGACUGAUUAGAUUAUGUCGGGUUUUCCUUUAAAGAUCCCGUAGCCAUUCUGAGAGUCCUGUUAAACAAACUAGAAGACGUAUACCUCAUUGUCACAAUCCUGAAACAAGUAGAGAAAAAGAUCAACCGAGUCAUGCCAGGUCCAAUUUUGUUUUACUAUCUCUCAUUCAACUUUCAAAUUUUUCAAGUUCGAUAGUGGCUCAUAGUUAUCGUGGUUUGAAUUUACAUUCUGAUUUUCAGGGAGGAUGCUUAUCAUAGGGUUGAUUCCUCAUGCAAGAAAAGUAGAGAUUCACCUGCUAAUGUAUGGCAAAAGGACUUCCCUGCUAAGGACUUCGGUCCAGAAGAGUAUUUUUCUGAAAGAUUGGCAGAUGACUGCUCUCCGGUUUCCCGAGGUCGAGCUGCUAUCUUGGAAAACAGAAAGAAAGAACAUGAGAAAAAAAGGUGAUUGUGUUCUCCAUGCCUUCCAUUCUGCUUCCCUCCUCAGUCCUCACCAUUGCAUUCUGAUAUAUGCAAGCACAAAUGCAUUUUUCCUUUCUUUAUCAUGCAAUUGGCUGUUGGGACUUGGGAGAUUCAUUCAAGGUAAAAUAACACAUCGUAGCUCUUGUUUCAAUUAGAGAAAUAAGCUUUACACUUUUUGAGAGCUCAUCCUGUCUUGUGCCAAAAAUGAUGUACUUCCAGAGCUCCAGAGCUUUAUAUUUAUUUCAUUUUUGACUUAUAUUGUCAUCUUGCAUGGUGAAGAAAGGGUUAGUAAAGCCAAACUAUGUAGUUGACUUGAAGUUUCAUAUUAUGAAUAUGUUCAUCGAUCAGCUUAUUCUGGUUGUUGUCCAUUUGUUGUUUGGAUAAAUAACUUGCAGUUACUUCCUCAUCUCAAGAGAAGAUUUUCUAUCUAUUUAGCUUCACUUGUGGUUUCUGGUGUUAAGAUGGUGAGAUAUAACUAGGACGACUUUUCUGCCACAAACUCCUGCUGAUUAAUCUGAGUUGAUUUUUUGAUCAACAGCUGCAAAUUGAAAAUAGAAGUCAGAACUAGCUGACUGCCUUUGAGUCUGGGAUUGAUCUCCAGUGUAUACAAUUGAUUCUAACCUUGUUUAUUUGAGUUUUCACAAGUCCCUUGUAUGCAUUCUAUACGGUAAUUGACAUCUACUACUACUAGUAGUUGAAAAACUAUAUGAAAAUGAUGAAACACCAAUUCACAAAAUGUGCAGUUAUUGCAUGGUUAGGCACAGCUAAUCGGUGCUUUUGAGAAAAAUGGUCCUUCAACUUGCAGAAAACUAUAUGGUUCAGAGUAAACAGGAUUAUGCAGUAUCGGCUAGUUAUAGACAAUGCUUCAUGGGCUUGGGUAUGACUCUCAGGUGCUGCUAUGUGCCCCAGUGUUGGAUCUCUCUAUUCUAGAAGAAUUUUUUCUUGCAGACCCAUACCCAAGUGUUAUGCCAUUACCCAUUUCUAAGUGUCAGGUGCGGAUACUUUCGGAUAAAUUAAUUAGGAUAAAUUAAAGGGUCCGAGUGACAUCUACACAUGGCUGUGAAAAAAAAUUCUUAUCUAUUGUUCACAUGAUAUGGGGCAAAAAAUGUAUGGGAAGCUACCAUACGAGAAGUUAUAGGGAGUGCCUUGGUUGCUGCCACAUAAGCAAGCUCUUCAAUCAUAGCUGCCUACCUGAAUCGGAACUUUCUGAGAAGUUGUCUUGCUAUUAGUGUGAGAUGUUUGGGUGGUUAUAAUGCGGCAAAAAGUGGGUUCAUGUGGAAACAAUUGGGGAUCCCUGCAACUUUAUCGAAGAGGAUCACUCCUUGUAAUUGAGUACAUCCUUCAUUCUGCACAUCCAUUUUCAAAAAUUGCAUCCAACUUGAAAGUAACCACUCACAUGAAGGACAAUAAUUAGAUCCAUUUGGUGUGAGUUUGACACAUCACCAGUUCUAUAUAUACUUGGAUGGGUAGCACAUUGCACUGAUCCAUUUGAUGAUUGAGAGGUCUAUAUACGGAACAUAUUUUUGUGGAAGUUUUGUUAAUAUUUGGUACUUUGUGAACCGUAAUAUAUGUAUGCACAAAAAUUUGGAAGUGAUUUUGGCUCUUUGUUUGGCAGUGAAGAAGAUCUUCCUAAAAGACAUAAACAACUAGUGUCACAAUCACUGGAGGAAAUAGAGUACGGUCUUGGAAGAAUAGUGGACAAAAGCUAUGCUCCAGAUAAUGCUUAUGAUAGAGAGCAAUCCACUAAGGAGCAUGCAAGAGAUGCAUCCUCUUCAGAGGAAAGGGUAUCCGAUGAGCAGGCAGUGAAGAGCACUUAUGGAGAUGGUUAUGCAGUUAAAGCUGAGAAGCAAUCACGUGCAAAAAGCAAUGAAUUUAGAGAAUCACAUUAUGAAAUAGCAUCUGUUAAGAAGUCCGGAAAAGAGGUGGACCAAAGCAACCGUUUGGAUAUCCAUGAUUCGGGCUCUGAAGAAACUGAUAUGCAGAGAUAUCGGGAGAUGGAAAAGCGAAGGCGCAAAAAGUCUUCUAAGUAUAAAAGAAAUUUGGAUGACAGUUCUGAAUCUGAUUCUCAGAUAGAUGACAUGGAGGCAAAGAGGAGGAGGAAAGAUGAGAAAAAGCAACGCAAGGAGGAGAGACGUCUCAGGCGUGAAGAGAGGCAUUGGAGAAAAUUGGAACAUCGUGUAGGCAAACUUAAAGUGAAAUCUGUAGAUACUGUUACUCCCCCAUCAGAUUUGGAGAAAAAUCAUAAUGAUGCUGAUGAAUCUGAUGGUGAUGCUGCCAUAAGAAAAGGUUCUCAUCUAAGUGACACAGAAGAAACAGAGUCAGAGCGGAAGCAGCUUGAGAUUGAGCUGCGAGAGAAGGCCCUCGAAUCUCUCAGAGCAAAGAAGUCUAUCAAUCAUUGAACUUAUGAUAUUUGAGUUGCUGUUUUCUUAUGUAAUAUGCAUUCAUAUGUUCUGUAGAAUGAGAUAUCAUUUCA
RNAcentral lists this long non-coding RNA (8044 nucleotides) under Elaeis guineensis (African oil palm). Its description in RNAcentral is "long non-coding RNA (EGUI_LNC026822)". Lineage: Eukaryota; Viridiplantae; Streptophyta; Magnoliopsida; Arecales; Arecaceae. The record is from RNAcentral.